This 64-nucleotide transfer RNA is filed under the name Parapotamon spinescens. Its description in RNAcentral is "tRNA-Trp". Lineage: Eukaryota; Metazoa; Arthropoda; Malacostraca; Decapoda; Potamidae. The record is from RNAcentral.
AAGAUUUUAAGUUAAAAAAACUAGAAGCCUUCAAAGCUUAAAAUAAAUAUUCUUUUAAAUCUUA